AUUGAACGCUGGCGGCAGGCCUAACACAUGCAAGUCGAGCGAGCGGCGGACGGGUGAGUAAUGUCUGGGAAACUGCCUGAUGGAGGGGGAUAACUACUGGAAACGGUAGCUAAUACCGCAUACCAUCAGAUGUGCCCAGAUGGGAUUAGCUAGUAGGUGGGGUAACGGCUCACCUAGGCGACGAUCCUUAGCUGGUCUGAGAGGAUGACCAGUCACACUGGAACGGAGACACGGUCCAGACUCCGACGGGAGGCAGCAGUGGGGAAUAUUCCACAAUGGGCGCAAGCCUGAUGCAGCCAUGCCGCGUGUGUGAAGAAGGCCUGCGGGUUGUAAAGCACUGUCAGCGGGGAGGCGUUACCCGCAGAAGAAGCACCGGCUAACUCCGUGCCAGCCGCCGCGGUAAUAC
This 406-nucleotide ribosomal RNA is filed under the name uncultured bacterium. RNAcentral describes it as "partial 16S ribosomal RNA". It matches the Rfam family "Bacterial small subunit ribosomal RNA", at positions 29 to 526 of the family's 1533-position model. The record is from RNAcentral.